Non-coding RNA from Cinara cedri, 326 nucleotides. Lineage: Eukaryota; Metazoa; Arthropoda; Insecta; Hemiptera; Aphididae. The record is from the annotation of a GenBank genome assembly.
AAUAUUUUACAGCUCUUGAACCUAAAACCCGCGUAUUGAGGAUAAUCAACAAUACUCAAUUUUGGAUACGCACUUGAAAGAAAAAUAUUGUGCAAGAUCUUUGGACGGGUAAAGGAUUUAGGAUAAUAUAAAAGGAGGAUGGAAACGAGGGAAAACAGGCGAACAAUGUAUUCUAGAGAUCUUCGAUUAGGAAGGAAUAUAUUGUGUCUAAAACAUUCAAUCAUUGCACGUGAAAAACGAUAUUGAGUGGUGUUCGGUUGAACAUAUUUUUUUUAUCACUAAAGCAACCGAGAAAUCUAUAAAAAUAAUACCAAACUUUUCUAUUU